AGUUCAGGGAGGUAGUGACAAUAAAUACCUUACAGAGGUCUCGUUAACCGAGAUCUCUCAAACGGAAUGAGUACAACGUGAAUCCUUUAACGAGGAUCGACUGGAGGGCAAGCCUGGUGCCAGCAGCCGCGGUAAUUCCAGCUCCAGUAGCGUAUAUUAAAGCUGUUGCGGUUAAAAAGCUCGUAGUUGGAUAUCAGUGCGUGUUCGGUCCGGUAUGCCUGGCGGUGUCGCUCGCGCGUCGCUGCUGGGCUCCCAAAUAUCGGCUGACCGCAUUCAAUCGUGCCGGAUCCGUCGGCGGGCCGUUCUUCGGAGGGGCCUGUUGGCGGCCGGCGACGUUACCUUGAACAAAUUAGAGUGCUCAAAGCAGGCUCUUAAUGCCUGUAUACAUAUUCAUGGAAUUGGAGAAUACGUCCCUGGCUCGAUUUGGUUGGUUUUGAGAGUCGAAGGGAAAUGAUUAAUAGGGACUGACGGAGGCAUUCGUAUUGCGACGCGAGGGGUGAAAUCCUGUGACCGUCGCACGACGAACUACUGCGAAAGCAUUUGCCGAGAAUGUUUUCAUUAGUCAAGAACGAAAGUUAGAGGUUCGAAGGCGAUCAGAUACCGCCCUAGUUCUAACCGUAAACGAUGUCGACCAGCAAUCCGCAACGGUCACUACACGGACUGUGCGGGCAGCUUCCCCGGGGAAACCAGAGUUUUUGGACUCCGGGGGAAGUAUGGUUGCAAAGCUGAAACUUAAAGGAAUUGACGGAAGGGCACCACCAGGAGUGGAGCUUGCGGCUUAAUUUGACUCAACACGGGACAACUCACCAGGCCCGGACACCGUAAGGAUUGACAGACUGAUAGCUCUCUCUUGAUUCAGUGGGUGGUGGUGCAUGGCCGUUCUUAGUUGGUGGAGUGAUUUGUCUGGUUUAUUCCGAUAACGAACGAGACUCUGGCCUAUUAAACUUGACACUGUCAGUCUCUUGUGACUGCGGUGCGCUUCU
RNAcentral lists this ribosomal RNA (983 nucleotides) under Acasta sp. Y0117PM1750. RNAcentral describes it as "SSU rRNA". It matches the Rfam family "Eukaryotic small subunit ribosomal RNA", at positions 453 to 1394 of the family's 1831-position model. The record is from RNAcentral. Lineage: Eukaryota; Metazoa; Arthropoda; Thecostraca; Balanomorpha; Balanidae.